CUCGCUUCCCGCCGGGGUGGAAGAAGCGGUGGAGGCGCCUCGCCCUCCGAGCCCCGCGACCUCCGCCAAGAAGGUCAUCUCCUCUAAAACGGAUCUUCCAGUGGUAAAUACAUAUAGAUAUAAUAGGUCUAAGACAUACAGAUGCAAGUCUGCCACAUGUCAGACCCAUGGCUGCGUCAGCAAAGGCCUGGAUUCACGAUUUCCGAUGUGGUGAUGGCACCUGGAUCCCACACAAAGUCUCAUGACUGCUGUACAGAAUGAUCUGAACAUGCAUGUUCAUUGUCAUAGACAACUCCAUAAAAAUAAUAAAUCUUGUACUUCA
Long non-coding RNA from Python bivittatus (Burmese python), 322 nucleotides. RefSeq lists it as uncharacterized. The record is from RefSeq and is a predicted model, not a curated record. Lineage: Eukaryota; Metazoa; Chordata; Lepidosauria; Squamata; Pythonidae.